GAUGAACGCUGGCGGCGUGCCUAAUACAUGCAAGUCGAGCGAACGGACGAGAAGCUUGCUUCUCUGAUGUUAGCGGCGGACGGGUGAGUAACACGUGGAUAACCUACCUAUAAGACUGGGAUAACUUCGGGAAACCGGAGCUAAUACCGGAUAAUAUUUUGAACCGCAUGGUUCAAAAGUAAAAUACGGUCUUGCUGUCACUUAUAGAUGGAUCCGCGCUGCAUUAGCUAGUUGGUAAGGUAACGGCUUACCAAGGCAACGAUGCAUAGCCGACCUGAGAGGGUGAUCGGCCACACUGGAACUGAGACACGGUCCAGACUACUACGGGAGGCAGCAGUAGGGAAUCUUCCGCAAUGGGCGAAAGCCUGACGGAGCAACGCCGCGUGAGUGAUGAAGGUCUUCGGAUCGUAAAACUCUGUUAUUAGGGAAGAACAUAUGUGUAAGUAACUGUGCACAUCUUGACGGUACCUAAUCAGAAAGCCACGGCUAACUACGUG
Molecule: ribosomal RNA, 497 nt
Filed under: uncultured bacterium
Lineage: Bacteria
Description: partial 16S ribosomal RNA
Rfam family: Bacterial small subunit ribosomal RNA
Source: RNAcentral